RNAcentral lists this unclassified non-coding RNA (182 nucleotides) under uncultured fungus. Its description in RNAcentral is "sequence contains ITS1, 5.8S rRNA gene". The record is from RNAcentral. Lineage: Eukaryota; Fungi.
AUGAAUUAUCCGUUCGGUUGCUGCUGGUCUUCCCAGACAUGUGCACGCCGGCGUUUUCAUUCGUCUACCCCAUCUGUGCACUCUUCGUAGGCCCAGGGAACUCUCCCGGCCUAUCAUAUCUAUACACACUCUUGUCAUAUGAAAUGAAUGCGAUACAGUCCGAUGGACUUAUAAAUCGAAUA